CGUGCGCGCAGGUCGGUGGUGGAGCGGGCUCCCUGGUGGGCGGCGACCGCCGCCCGGUGGAGCGCCUGCCCCGGCUCGGUGUCCGGGGCGCAUGC
This 95-nucleotide transfer RNA is filed under the name Streptomyces hygroscopicus subsp. hygroscopicus. RNAcentral describes it as "tRNA-Thr". The record is from RNAcentral. Lineage: Bacteria; Bacillati; Actinomycetota; Actinomycetes; Kitasatosporales; Streptomycetaceae.